CCUACGGGAGGCAGCAGUGAGGAAUAUUGGUCAAUGGUCGCGAGCCUGAACCAGCCAAGUAGCGUGAAGGAUGACUGCCCUACGUGUUGUAAACUUCUUUUAUCAAGGAAUAAAGUGAGGCACGUGUGCCUGUUUGUGUGUACUUUAUGAAUAAGGAUCGGCUAACUCCGUGCCAGCAGCCGCGGUAAUACGGAGGAUCCGAGCGUUCUCCGGAUUUAUUGGGUUUAAAGGGAGCGUAGAUGGGUUGUUAAGUCAGUUGUGAAAGUUUGCGGCUCAACCCUAAAAUUGCAAUUGAUACUGGCAGUCUCGAGUAGAGUUGAGGUAGGCGGAAUUCGUGGUGUAGCGGUGAAAUGCUUAGAUAUCACGAAGAACUCCGAUUGCGAAGGCAGCUUACCAACUUCCCACUGACAUUGAUGCUCGAAAGUGUGGGUAUCAAACAGGAUUAGAUACCCGAGUAGUC
RNAcentral lists this ribosomal RNA (460 nucleotides) under uncultured bacterium. RNAcentral describes it as "partial 16S ribosomal RNA". It matches the Rfam family "Bacterial small subunit ribosomal RNA", at positions 338 to 795 of the family's 1533-position model. The record is from RNAcentral.